CUCUCUCUCAGCCUGGUCAUCGCUGUCCUGGUGGACAAUUUCCAGUUGACCCUGAUCAAGCGCCAAGAGCUGCAGAAGCAGAAGAGUCUGCUGCAGCCCAAGGAGAGCAGCAUAGAAGAUAUUGUAUCAGGCAAGCCAGCCCAGGAGGGACACAUGAAGCUGGAGGACGAUGAAGCCUUCCUGGCUCAGCUCAUCAAGCACAUGGAUGGCAGCGAGAGCAGGGAGAAGCAGCUGCUCUUCACCUACCUGCAGCUGAUGGCGUCAGUUGAGCACCUCCAGCAGCAGUUCCGCUCCCAGGCCGCCACCACCGACAAGAUUGUCGACAGCUUCUUCGAGACAGCCGAGCAGGACUUUCCCCACCACUGAAAAGGCCGGGCUGUCCACACUGUGGGGAAAGGAUGUGCCCGGAGGCCCAGGCACUGCAGCCAUGAGGCUGGGACAGGCCCCAGAUCCAGCCCUCGCCCAGACACUGCCACGGCUCUGUAUUAAAAGGCUCCUGGCCACCAGGGAUGCAGGGGAAAUGGUGUGUGAAGAGUGACAGUGAGGGGAAGGAUGUCAGGCCACACCAUGUCUUUUCCCUGCUUUGGGCCCCAGACUCCUGGGUUCUCCCCCCAGAUCUGGGGGGAGGAGGGAAACUAGUGCAUUAGAGUAGGGGUGGGAGGCUGGGAGCCAGGACACCUGGGUUCUAUGCCCCGCUCUGAUGGUCUUCCAAUGUACACUGGCUCCUGGCCCUCCCCUGAACACAAGAGACACAGAAGCUCAGCUAAAGGACCCUGCAACCCCUGGCCUUAGCAGCUGAGCCCUGUGGGGAAGCAUUUACAAGGGCCAGCACUGCAGCCACUGCACCAGUGCCCAGGGAUCCCUGCUGAGCUGGUCCUAGGGGCCUUGGGAAUCUCAAGGACAAAGGCCAACUGAUGUCCGUGUCUGGGAGCGAUGCCAGACAGAUUCAGAUGGGGAAUGAGGGGCAGAGGUUUAGCAGUGAGGGGGAUUCUUCAGCAAGGCAGCUCUCCUGGGAUAGGGGAACGCUCCACCCCUUGGGGACUUUACAUCCAGGCUGCACAGCUCUAAAAGCCAUGCUGUGGUCCCACCCCCA
Chrysemys picta bellii (western painted turtle) is the source of this 1093-nucleotide non-coding RNA. Lineage: Eukaryota; Metazoa; Chordata; Testudines; Emydidae. The record is from RefSeq and is a predicted model, not a curated record.